UGCGUAGGCGGCCAAAUUAGUCAGGGGUGAAAGCUCGCAGCUCAACUGCGGAAUUGCCUUUGAUACUGUUUGGCUUGAAUCAGGAUGAGGUCAGCGGAAUGUGGCAUGUAGCGGUGAAAUGCAUAGAUAUGCCAUAGAACACCAAUUGCGAAGGCAGCUGACUAGACCUGCAUUGACGCUGAGGCACGAAAGCAUGGGGAGCGAACAGGAUUAGAUACCCUGGUAGUCC
RNAcentral lists this ribosomal RNA (229 nucleotides) under uncultured bacterium. RNAcentral's name for it is "partial 16S ribosomal RNA". It matches the Rfam family "Bacterial small subunit ribosomal RNA", at positions 568 to 796 of the family's 1533-position model. The record is from RNAcentral.